CCUACGGGAGGCAGCAGUGGGGAAUCUUAGACAAUGGGCGCAAGCCUGAUCUAGCCAUGCCGCGUGAGUGAUGAAGGCCUUAGGGUCGUAAAGCUCUUUCGCCUGUGAUGAUAAUGACAGUAGCAGGUAAAGAAACCCCGGCUAACUCCGUGCCAGCAGCCGCGGUAAUACGGAGGGGGUUAGCGUUGUUCGGAAUUACUGGGCGUAAAGCGCACGUAGGCGGAUUGGAAAGUUGGGGGUGAAAUCCCGGGGCUCAACCCCGGAACUGCCUCCAAAACUAUCAGUCUAGAGUUCGAGAGAGGUGAGUGGAAUUCCAAGUGUAGAGGUGAAAUUCGUAGAUAUUUGGAGGAACACCAGUGGCGAAGGCGGCUCACUGGCUCGAUACUGACGCUGAGGUGCGAAAGUGUGGGGAGCAAACAGGAUUAGAUACCCUGGUAGUCCACACCGUAAACGAUGAAUGCCAGUCGUCGGGCAGUAUACUGUUCGGUGACACACCUAACGGAUUAAGCAUUCCGCCUGGGGAGUACGGUCGCAAGAUUAAAACUCAAAGGAAUUGACGG
This 560-nucleotide ribosomal RNA is filed under the name uncultured bacterium. Its description in RNAcentral is "bacterial SSU rRNA". It matches the Rfam family "Bacterial small subunit ribosomal RNA", at positions 338 to 916 of the family's 1533-position model. The record is from RNAcentral. RNAcentral also lists the same sequence under 2 other names.